RNAcentral lists this ribosomal RNA (1372 nucleotides) under uncultured bacterium. RNAcentral describes it as "bacterial SSU rRNA". It matches the Rfam family "Bacterial small subunit ribosomal RNA", at positions 28 to 1381 of the family's 1533-position model. The record is from RNAcentral.
GAUGAACGCUGGCGGCGUGCCUAAUACAUGCAAGUCGAGCGAACGGACGAGAAGCUUGCUUUUCUGAUGUUAGCGGCGGACGGGUGAGUAACACGUGGAUAACCUACCUAUAAGACUGGGAUAACUUCGGGAAACCGGAGCUAAUACCGGAUAAUAUUUUGAACCGCAUGGUUCAAAAGUGAAAGACGGUCUUGCUGUCACUUAUAGAUGGAUCCGCGCUGCAUUAGCUAGUUGGUAAGGUAACGGCUUACCAAGGCAACGAUGCAUAGCCGACCUGAGAGGGUGAUCGGCCACACUGGAACUGAGACACGGUCCAGACUCCUACGGGAGGCAGCAGUAGGGAAUCUUCCGCAAUGGGCGAAAGCCUGACGGAGCAACGCCGCGUGAGUGAUGAAGGUCUUCGGAUCGUAAAACUCUGUUAUUAGGGAAGAACAUAUGUGUAAGUAACUGUGCACAUCUUGACGGUACCUAAUCAGAAAGCCACGGCUAACUACGUGCCAGCAGCCGCGGUAAUACGUAGGUGGCAAGCGUUAUCCGGAAUUAUUGGGCGUAAAGCGCGCGUAGGCGGUUUUUUAAGUCUGAUGUGAAAGCCCACGGCUCAACCGUGGAGGGUCAUUGGAAACUGGAAAACUUGAGUGCAGAAGAGGAAAGUGGAAUUCCAUGUGUAGCGGUGAAAUGCGCAGAGAUGUGGAGGAACACCAGUGGCGAAGGCGACUUUCUGGUCUGUAACUGACGCUGAUGUGCGAAAGCGUGGGGAUCAAACAGGAUUAGAUACCCUGGUAGUCCACGCCGUAAACGAUGAGUGCUAAGUGUUAGGGGGUUUCCGCCCCUUAGUGCUGCAGCUAACGCAUUAAGCACUCCGCCUGGGGAGUACGACCGCAAGGUUGAAACUCAAAGGAAUUGACGGGGGCCCGCACAAGCGGUGGAGCAUGUGGUUUAAUUCGAAGCAACGCGAAGAACCUUACCAAAUCUUGACAUCCUUUGACAACUCUAGAGAUAGAGCCUUCCCCUUCGGGGGACAAAGUGACAGGUGGUGCAUGGUUGUCGUCAGCUCGUGUCGUGAGAUGUUGGGUUAAGUCCCGCAACGAGCGCAACCCUUAAGCUUAGUUGCCAUCAUUAAGUUGGGCACUCUAAGUUGACUGCCGGUGACAAACCGGAGGAAGGUGGGGAUGACGUCAAAUCAUCAUGCCCCUUAUGAUCUGGGCUACACACGUGCUACAAUGGACAAUACAAAGGGCAGCGAAACCGCGAGGUCAAGCAAAUCCCAUAAAGUUGUUCUCAGUUCGGAUUGUAGUCUGCAACUCGACUACAUGAAGCUGGAAUCGCUAGUAAUCGUAGAUCAGCAUGCUACGGUGAAUACGUUCCCGGGUCU